RNAcentral lists this transfer RNA (72 nucleotides) under Camelus bactrianus (Bactrian camel). It matches the Rfam family "tRNA". From Rfam's summary of the family: Transfer RNA (tRNA) molecules are approximately 80 nucleotides in length. Their secondary structure includes four short double-helical elements and three loops (D, anti-codon, and T loops). Further hydrogen bonds mediate the characteristic L-shaped molecular structure. tRNAs have two regions of fundamental functional importance: the anti-codon, which is responsible for specific mRNA codon recognition, and the 3' end, to which the tRNAs corresponding amino acid is attached (by aminoacyl-tRNA synthetases). tRNAs cope with the degeneracy of the genetic code in two manners: having more than one tRNA (with a specific anti-codon) for a particular amino acid; and 'wobble' base-pairing, i.e. permitting non-standard base-pairing at the 3rd anti-codon position. The record is from Rfam by way of RNAcentral. RNAcentral also lists the same sequence under 3 other names. Lineage: Eukaryota; Metazoa; Chordata; Mammalia; Artiodactyla; Camelidae.
GAGGGUGUAGCUCAGUGGUAGAGCACGUGCUUAGCAUGCAUGAGGUCCUAGGUUCAAUCCCCAGUGCCUCCA